UCUACCCAGCACGCGGAAAAAAAAGAAGAACUCACGAAAGAAAAAAAAAAAACUCGUCCGCUGCACAUAUACCACUGAUAUUACCGGGAGAUCCCUUCCUUCAGGUCGACCCGCUGCACUUAUCUGUCCUUCUCUUUAUUGCGUCUCCUUUGAGGAACAACAUUUGCAGUGCCGGUAAUCCACGUUCAAACUCGUAAUUUGACCGAGGUUCGGAAGAGCCAUCGCAGAAUGAGUGAGAGACACACAGGUUAUCCGGAUCCAAGACAGGAAAGAAAAACCAGCCCGUUCUAGAAGUUGUCAACCAACGUAGUCAGAUCGGACUGUUUUGGAGAGAGAUGACCGGUGCGUAUUCCCGGUAACGCACCGCUUGGCCACAGCGUCGUCUCGGGUCUGUGCGACGCCAAGAAUCAGACUGCAGACUGCCUCUCUCUCUCUCUCUCUCUCUCUCUCUCUCUCUCUCCCCCUCUCUCUCACUCCCCCUCCACCGCGGCCCUCUCCCCCACCACUUCACAUUUAUGAGUUAAAGGACAUUAACCGACUUAUUGAGUCAUAAACUAAUAUGGUCCAUUAGAUGAAUAUCUCUCGGUGAUAAUUAAAACAAUAUGCUAAUAUACUAAUAAUAACAAUACAAUUCUAACCAGUAAUUCUACCAAUUCACUAAGGUAAAAUCGAGGGGUCCACAACGAGGCCAUUGUCUCCAUCCAUUAAGUCCAAUCAUGGGCCCGCCCGGUGGUUUAACAUGGAUGUCCACUUUCUGCUCACCAGACGUGAAAUUGAUGCUUAACAGGCUGGAACCCUGGACCGUAAAUUUGAAUGUCAUUUCCACUUCUCCAUAUGAGGGUGUAAUUAGUUUUUCGCAAUGCGCCGUCCGUGGAAACAAUCGCGAUAAUGAAAUGCGCGUCGGCCUUCGACCCUGUUUUUAAGAUGGGGGGGGGUCAUAAAAAGUGUUACCGCAGCAUUCAAUUAAAUUGUGCCAACCCUGGUGUGCGCCUGCAGCUCAUGGUCAGGUUGUUUAGCAUUCUGUAGACUAAUAUGACACCUAUUAUCAGUCUGUUAAUGCCGCUGGUCUAUUUAUGCUCACGCACACGCAUUCUGCUGCGCGUGAGUUUGUUCUCCGAUAGCCAAUGCUGCGUAAUUGGUUUGUCCAGUUUAUUGUCAAAUUGAAAGAUUAUCCAAUUUGAAAAAUUAAAGAUAAUUCGGGAAGGUCCAAAGCCGCAAAAAGAAAAUGGUCGCCUUCUCGAUAAACCAAUAAACUGGUUUGAAGGGCUAAAUUGAAUAAAUAAUCAAAUCACAUGACAAAUUAAUUAUAGGGGCGAAUGUUACAGGCCAUAUCCAUUAAUGGAAGUUGUUCAGUGAAACCCAGAACGUGUUAUUUAAAUACAAGUGUAUUGACCAUUUUGAAUGACUUUAUAGCAUGAAACGUUUACCAGCUUUGCCAAAUGCAUUUGUGAACAAAUAGUGUCGAGGUAUUAGCAAGUUGGGCUUUUUUGAAUUGUGUUCACUAUUUUUUGCCUUCCAUACAUUGAUCACCAAGACAAACGAGUUUAAAAAAAAACGCAACUUUUACUUUGAAGGGGAAACCUUGCGUUUUCCGGCUCUGCACUUCCCCGACUCUUCUUAGCGUGAAUUUAAGUAACAAUCCGAAGGUUUUUUGCAUUGCACGUGUUCUUACAAUAGAACACAAGUCAGUGCCUCUAAACUGACAUUCUAGAGUCCUUUCGGUGUGCCAUGGCAACCCGCCAAAUAAUGUUUCCUUACAAAAAGCUGGUUAGAAAUAAACCAUCGGCCGGCCGUAAAGAAAAGCUUGUGCGUGUGGACAACAACACGGAGACAACAUGAUGCCGUGGGGAAGGUCUCGCAUCGCGACAGCCACUCCAAAACACUUGGUGGGUGCGUUCGCGCCGUUUCCGCGCUCCACGUGGAUCCACGCUGACGUCCCGCGGGACAACUACGACCGCAUCUGCGAAAAAAUCUGGAGAGCAGCAAACGAGGCCGAGGAGGAGUUUGGCAGAGGAGCAAGUCCACCAGAGAGGCAGAGGGAUGAAGAGGGCAGGAGAGUAGACGACACACCAACUCAUCGGGCCAAGGAGCAGCAGAAGGAGGCAGAUGACUUUGGUCUGAGCACACGCUACGAGGAGGACGCGCAGCGGCACCACACAGCCUUCGCACUUCCUUGCCCCCGUCUCUCGGGCCACAGACCUCCCCCUGUGGCCGAGCCUGCACGGGAACUGAAGCCUGUGAUGGAAAAAGAGAUGAAACGAGCCAGGGAGGCGAGAGGGAACGCGGGUUUGUCACGUCGGGAGGAAGAAGCGGGAGACGGACAAACUAGCGUGUCAAAUGACGUUAAGGGGAUCAUUGUCCCGGAAUCCACCGGCAGAGAAAACAGCUCUGAACCUCAACCUCAACCUCCGGCGCCGGAUCCAGUCUGCUCUGCCACUGCGGACCGAACCCUGCGCCUGGAGGAUGAUGAAGAUCCUCAGCAUGCUGCAUGCGAAAGCAGAGAUGGCGAGAAUACAACUAGCAGUUGCGACAGUGAUUCCAGCGAUGAUGAUGAUGAUGAUGAUUUUGUAAGCCUACCUGGGGCGAGAAGUUAUGCCACAGAUAACAGUCGUGGUGAAUCAGAGAGUGAAAACGACAGUGACGGAGAGAUAAGUGAGAUGUUGCGCUCACUUGAAGGAGCAUGUUCCAACAGCGAGCAGGAUUCCCUGUGUUCUUUCACAGCGGAAGACUUUCCACUCCUAUCUGCCACAAAGGCUGGCAACCCACCACGUCCCACGGAGCCCCCAGCCUGGGGGAAGAUGAAGAGCCACUGGGAGAUUCCCCUUUCAGCCUGGCCAUGCGACUUCCCCGCUGCCACUUUGGCAAGCUGCGUGACCGGCCGUGCCCAUGCUCCGGUCCGAGGCAAAGCCGGAGCACCUGAGGCGAGCUCGCUGAGCAACGCACCAGCAGCCCCAGAGGAGCAGCCUUACAACCUGCUGGCUGACUUCCCAGCCCUGCAGCCCUCAAAGAAACCUUUAGCACUGGGUGUGUGGCGUGAUGGGAAUCCAGAGACCAAGGUUGCGGAGGGGAACAGAGGGCACGCUCGCACAAAAAUCCAAUGCCAAGGAAGAGGGGGUUCCUGUCGGAGGAAAAUUCAAAUUGUUCCCCUCGAGGUCCCCUCCGUCUGCACACGAGAUCAAAAAUCCGUAGGCAAUUCUCCCACCGUCAGCGGCGAGGAACUGAAGGCCAGCAACCAGCCGACUCCUAGAGCAGUUUGCAGCGUCAUAACACAGCCCUGUGGAUUUAGCGGCACUGAGUCGAUCCCUCGAGGGGGCGCGGCCCAAAGAAUUCCCUUGCUGGGUACAGAUGGCGUGGACACCAAUGCCAGGUCCUGGGCCAGCGUUGCCAAGAUGGGCCUGGAGUAAGCAGCUGCCCCCCCGGAAGAAAGCCAGACCUUGUACCCUUCAGCAGAUAGUUACCGUUAACAUAGCCAAAGGCCGAGGGAACGAGGGCUGAACUCGGCCUCAUGUGGCGUCAGCGUCAAUUGUGUUUGUGCAAGACACUACCCGAUAACGACGUCUCGCUAGACUUUGUUAUUUCCCCCUGUUACCAGCCUAACAAAUGUGUGCAUCGCCCGAGUGUUGUCAACUUUUUUUGCUUAAUCUACUGCUUCUACGGGACUGAACCAGUGAGAGAUUCAUCAAGUGAGGCGGAGGCAAAGGACACAGCGGACACCAGUCGGUGCUUGAGCUCAUUAGUGAGCGUAUGCAUGCUCUGCACACACACACACACACAAGUGAGGUCCCAAAUAAAAAAUGCAAACUAUACGCACUUUGCAAAUGAAUAGAGUGAUGCGUAGUAAUAACAAAAUCUCAUUGUACUUUUGUGAUAGUGAAAUGGCGAUUAUUCAACAGUGCAGUCCUUUUUUUCGCCAGCGGACCUUCUCAUACAUAAUGCAUCCAAAUCAUUGCAUUUUUCCUCCAUUCGGGGCUACAAUGCAUAUUUCAUCAAGCCAGUGAAAUAUUAAGCACCCUUACGAUUUGAUAUUCUCUUCUAAAGGGGAUUUCAGUUCAUAUAUUUCCUUCACAUCACUCGUGUCUCCUCUGGGACCAAACUUCCGGGGGAUGUCUUUAUUUGGCUAUAUGUUUGUUCAUUGGAGAGACGUUUGAUUGGUUGAUGCUGGAGCGAUGAUCAAUGAGCCAACCAAUCAAUUCCAGAGAUUAUCAAGGCUCAGAGGCCAUUGAUCUAUAAGUGGGCCUAGCGCUGAAUGGCAGGUUGGCCUCACGCCAACUGAUUUGAUUGAAAUUAGAGAGUCUCAAACUGUGCAGCUUCUCUGCCUCAAAUGUCCACUGUUAUUUAGGUGGAGAGAUAUUGGAGAGACAGGUGAGUAAGGAGCAUCACCACAAGAAUGUGAAAGCAAAGGUCUGCUUUUUACCCUUGAAUGAAUCAAUUACAACUAAUUACUUGAGGAGUUUCACCGCUUUUAAUUUGUUGGUGCCGUAUUGUCACAAAAUUAUCUUGGGUUAUCUAAAAACUUUUUAUCUAAAUGUCAAAUCUAUAUAAAAGUUUCAGAGGAUGUUGGAUGGAUGGUGCAAUUGUGACAUUUGUGUUAAACACUUUUGUCAUUUAAGAAGAAAUCACCCUCAAGGCAACUGAACAAGUCAUGUUACUUUUAGAACUGUGCAGCAGAGAGAAGGGAUUUCAGGGAUCCUGCCUACCGCAAUGCUUACUUGCAAGUAAUAAGACUAUUUAACAUGGUAAAAGAAAUAGCAAAUUUUGGUUUUCCUACCUAGGGUUAGAUGAAAAAACUGACACCACUGUUAUGUUUGAAUUAAAAAAAUAACAAAUUCUUUUCACAUUUUGAAAUUAAUUUAUCUAGAUUAAUCAGGAUUAUUUUUUUCAAAUCUUAAUAAAUUAACAAGUAAUCGCUAGAAAAAGUGUGUUAUCGACAUGCCGUAAUUACGUUUAAUUGUGUUAUUUUAAACACAAAACUAGACACAUGUGAUCAUCUCUGAGGCCGGAUUUCAUCGGUGGAACAUGUUGAACUAGCGAGUCUUCCUGCUGUCCCCGACAAUGGUGGUCCUUUGCACCCACGUAGGGUAGGUGUUGAGAUGGAAGUAGCCUAGCAGCUAGCUUAGCCUAGCAGCUAGUUUAGGCUUGCAGCUAGCUUAGGCUUGCAGCUACCGACAUGUUCCUAAAGUGGUCCGUUUGCCACCUUCUGUUUGACACCUGGAAGAAAUUCGUCUGCACAGUUCUCCGCUGUAUGUCGCGGCUCUUAGUUUUACUUCCAAUGCAAAGUUCUCUCCAUCUUCAACUACAGUCUAGGUCUCUCCGAUUAAACCUUAAUUGACUGCAGGCUCGCGGCGGUUUCUGGGGUCAAUGUACACAGGAAGUAAACAAAGUUGCGUUGACUGCGUUAAAAUAUUUUGUCAUUUAUCUUUAGUUCAUUUUAAGGUCGUUUAAAAAGUCCCCCCAAUCACAAACGCAGACUCGACUCAAACCGAGUGAAUGUUGAGACAAAUAGCUCCAAUUAAACAAUUUAAAUCUGCUGCUACAACAUUAGGCAUAUGCAAGUUUUUCCAUUGUAUCCAAUGCUCAAGUAUCAACACAUUUCGGUUUAAUUGUGAGUUUAAAAGUGUAUAUUUUUCAUUUUUUGUUAUCUUCCCCCAGGCGAGAGUCCGGCGACGGUUUUGUUUUCGUCUGUGGUUAAUCUCGCAUCCCGCUGCAGCAAACUGCACAAUGUUUUGGGGUUAUUUUAAGCUGUUGUGGUCGCGGGGUCUCACACCUUCUCUGAACCUAUUUUAUUGCCUGUGGAAUACGGCCAUUGACUCGCCUGUUUACUCCUCACUCACAACUCUGAACUGCUCCCCAACAGGUAGGGGCCACUGGUGAUAACGCAGCUGAGUGCACCUCUGAUCCCGAGGCGUCGCCCUGCGCCCGGACACAGUGGGGCGUCAACAGUCUGCACACAUUGUGUACGGCUAACAGCUAACCGAACCACCACUACACACACACACACACACACACACAGCUGACCACCUGUUGUCGUCCGCUGCCCCGCCGCCCCCUCUCUCUGAGUUUCAAGAACGCAUUUUUAACCAGCGGAACAAAUGUCUGACACGUUUCGUCGACCUCGUUGUGUCAAUUAAGCUGUAAACUAAUCUCCAUAAUAAAAUGUGUACUUUCGUAGCGAGCGCCUGACAAAUUGUGUUCCGUCUUGGCAAUAUCCAUUUCAUUAAGGUGAUACUGGUAUUUGAAUACAAACAAGGCUGCAGUUGUCUCACAACUCGGGUUGCCAGCGUGGCAGGUGUUCAAAUUGACGACGUCGGGCCAGCUGGAGCCGAUAUGAGUACCAACAAAAAACGGCGCGACUGGAGCAGUUUCACAAACUCUGCACGAGUCUGAACCGUUCCCUUUCUGGCGAUAUGCAAUAAAGAGGGUUAAGGGCGUUGGCACAUUUGUAUUAUUCUAAAAUAAAACCUAAUAUUACUCCUGCGGGAAUCACAGAACACGGAACCUGGAGGGAUGCUCCUUAUUAAAGGUGAUACUCAGAGCAUAUCCACAUAGAUUGAGGGAUUUCCUUCACACGCUAUGACGCUUUCAGCACUUUUUAUGUCAGAUUGCGACAGUGAUGCCGUUGGUUUUUCAAAAUGAACUUCAAACAUCUACUUAGUUGAGUAUUCUCUCGAGCGGGCUUGGAUGGACAGGAUACUACUACUACUACUACUAGAAUGCUACCCAAGUUCAUUAGGUCAAUCCAUUCCAAAUGCGGUGACUUCGGGUCAUUGUUUGCAACAAAUUCAGGACUUUGUUUCAAAAGAACGCUGUUAAAACUGAAAGUAUUCGAUCUCGUCGGUUUUUAGGUGUGUUUCUAGGUCGAGGAAAAGAAAGGCCUUGACGUCCACAAACUAUAUAAGCAAAGCACAGCAACACUCAAAUUAGAGGGAAUUAGAUUAGUAUGUUCUGCUUUAAAUGCUCAUAAUUUUAAAUGUUGCACAUUUAAGCCCAAGCCCGCCGAUAUUGUCCACCAAGCGUUUGUUUGAUGAAAUGCACCUUAUGUAUUUCUGUAAUUCAAGCACCUUGUUGACUUUUGAUAUCACAGCAGUUCUCUCUCUCUCUCUCUCUCUCUCUCUCUCUCUCUCUCUCUCAAGAGUGCUUUGCAUUCGGACGCCUAAUGAGCUAAUAUGCUAAUAAGCACGCAUGCAAGCUCUCAGCUAAUUUUCACUUUUGUUUCUGAUUACAUAUUGCGUAAUAAUCACUUAAAUUAUGCGUAAUGUAUGUUAAAUAUCAAGUCCUGCAUUAAACGCAAUCUAUUUUCAUCAAUUGAUCACAGCUAAUGCCAUUGUUCAUUGGUGUGGUUGAGUUGCGGCAAAUUGACUGAUUUGAUCGACAGAGACGCUGCGCUGGAGAAUCACAGCGACCACCAGACCACUUAGAAUUACACCGGCAAGCCGCUCAAAUCUUCUUCAGCUGAACAAAUUGCUUCGGACACUGACACAAGAACAAAUUAUUUCUCAAGGUCCAGAAAAAUAUUAAAACAGCUUUGAAGAAAUCUUAAUGAGUGCAAACUCUCAAUAGAGCAAGGACGCCCUUUAUGUUUUUGAAUAUCCAUGUAAAAUAUGAGGAAGAGUCACAGCUCUGCUUGACCAAAUGUUUCUAAGACGACGCACUGAGAAAACUGAGAUUCCGAAACGACAAAGAAGACAUGAAUACAACAGAAGAGAAAAGAAAGCAGUGUGCAGAAAUAUCUCACCAGGUCUUGUGUUUGUGUUAAAACUAAGUGAAAUACUAUAGAUUACCUAAUGAGGGCCUUAAAAAGCUUGGCACGUCCAGCACCAUCUCCGCUCCAUGCGCACGUGCUUGCUGAAGGCUUUUUGUGUAUGCAACCAUGCAACCAUAUGAAGGAAAAGUCAGCAUUACGGUGUCUCUGCCGGCCUCUCCCUAUCUUUCCUCAGUGGCAUUUGGGUAUUUGCUUUGCCGGUCCUGAGGUCUCACAAGCCUUGGAGACGUGAGAGAACCUUUGUACAUCAUAGCCUUCAGCGUCCUACCUUGCCGAGCAAGAGAAGGUAUAGGGAAGGACGGUGGGAGGGAGAAAGGGAGGACAGGGGGGGGAGACGAGGAAAGCGCAGAACAAGGGAGCAUAAAAAGCAUUCAAUUAAGACAUGAACUGGAGGGUUCAUUAAGCAUGAGCAAGCCGAUGAAAAUGACCAUCCAUCAAGAGAGAGUGCUGUGGCAGCGCUGAGAAGAGCGUGCAGGCAUCCGCCCAUUGGACAUACUCAAUUACUAUGGUGAGGAGAGAAAAAAUGCUCAUACUUGCCUGUUUGAAGAAGAAUGAAAACUAAUAGCACGCAGUAUAUAACUGGUGUAAACUGGAGUGAGUCAUAUAUUGAUUAUUCUAUAGACUUUGUGGCUUUCCUCCACUUAGUCUCACGUUGUGCCAUAAAAAAAGGGGUUUUAAGAGGGAGCAUUAAUUUUCCUGCUAAAAUCCAUUUUUUUCUUCAACUAAUUAAAAUGGUCCUACCAUUUGCUAUUUUACUGUACUACUUGUUGUCUACUUCAGCAGCAUCAUUGAGUGCUCCUGUGAGAUAAAGGGCUGAAUUUAAAUUUGCUUUGCUUCUACACAAAUGUCCAAAAUAAUCAGGGCGACUGCUCUUUCAAACAAGCCGUUACAUCAAGUUUUUAUAAAAAGAUACGCAUGUCCAAUGACCCUACGCACAUUGUGAAAUGAAGAUCGUUAAAAAACAUUUCCAAAUAAAUUAUAUCCUGUCAGAUUAGCAAUGACUUUUCAGGAGUUGUAGUUGUGAAGGUGUUAUAUGGAGAGAAAUCAAUGUGCGGCAAUAGGCCUUUUGAGACUCAUCCCCAAAAUCCCGUCCCACCCAUUUCCCCAGCACCAAAAGGCUCACACGUACACAUCUGAGGGACUGCGGUGCCUCAGUGUGGCCUUGCCCUCAAAAAACUCAAAGCUCUCACCCUUUUUAGCGGGUUCAGCUGUCACCGAAUGUGCUCUUAUUCCAACAACACACACCAGAUUCUUUCUUUUGAAAGUCUUUGUGCAAAGGGAUACAGCUCCUGGAUUUCUUUGUUUGUGGUUCGAUUGGGAAUGUGUGCUUUGGCCCUUUUUAAAUGAUCUUCCUUGAGAGCUUGGGAACCUGUAAAGCCCAAUGGUCACAGCAUCUGUUUGAGGCCAAAAUGGAUCUGUAUUCUGCACUUGGUGUGUCCUUGUACUAUGUGCAUGUGGAAAUAUGUGUCCCUGUGAAGAAAACGCCUGUUUGUAAAAACUCAUCCAUCGAGUGCUCUGAAAAUAAUUAAAAUACAUAUUUUGUAAGUGUCUUGAUUUUUUCUUCAUCCUGUCUGAAUCAAUCAUGCGGCUUUCAUCCAGACUAAAAAACCUGCACUCAUACUUAAUGGACACUGCAUUGAAAAGGACAAACACUCUAAACAUAAACUGCCUGAGUGUAGGUGAGAAAGUCAUUUUUGGAUGACGAUGGUGGACUAUGGAGCCCAAAGCUGCAUCAAGAGAUGCUAAAACAUUAGUUUCGGCACUUCUCACUGGAUCUAUUGAUAGUAAAACUUGGGAAAAUUAUCCCAAAAAUUAUUUUUUUUAAUAAUGUGACUAGAAUGGAGCCCAGCCAAGCGACAGUUUCAAGGGACACUUGUCAAAAGUAUUGCCCACUCGGCACCAUUUGCUCCUUUGAGCUUUCGAUUUAUUGGUCCAGUUAUUGAGUUGUUCCAGCCGUAUGAACUAGCUGUACACCGACUAAACUACACUGCAUGUUAUCGACUGGCCAACUUACUCAUAUAAAGUCACUUUGAUGCUUGCAUCUUCAUCCCUGGUCAAACACAGCUAUUUAUAUUAUGUUUCACUUUAUGUAUCACAAAAGGUUUAGGCAAUGCUUUCCACACAAUAAACAAUUAGCCCAUUAUUCUAGGAAUCAUGAACAUAAUUCAACAUGAUUCAUGUACAUCACAACAUUAAGUGCUUUUGCAGGACCUACAGUAGUUUGACCUAGAUCACAUUAAAUAUUUAAAGCCAAGGCAACAUGUUUGUGGUAGCGUUCCAUAGAUAACCAUGUUAAGCCCGGCCAAUA
Long non-coding RNA from Gasterosteus aculeatus aculeatus (three-spined stickleback), 10067 nucleotides. NCBI's taxonomy places the organism in Eukaryota, Metazoa, Chordata, Actinopteri, Perciformes, Gasterosteidae. The record is from Ensembl.